UCCCCGUUGCCGGGGCAGUCUAGCUAGAGAAAUUCAACUAACUAUAAGGGUUGCGCUCGUUGAUGGACUUAACCAAACAUCUCACGACACGAGCUGACGACGGCCAUGCAUCACCUGUCAUUGGAUUCCCGAAGGCACUCUCUCCUUUCGGAGAAAUUCCCAAGAUGUCAAACCCUGGUAAGGUUCUUCGCUUACCAUCGAAUUAAACAACACGCUCCACCGCUUGUGCGGGUCCCCGUCAAUUCCUUUAUGUUUUAGUCUUGCGACCGUACUCCACAGGCGGGAUGCUUAACGCGUUAGCUUCGCUACAACCAGGGUCGAUACUGAUAACAGCUAGCAUCCAUAGUUUACGGCGUGGACUAC
RNAcentral lists this unclassified non-coding RNA (363 nucleotides) under uncultured bacterium. RNAcentral's name for it is "contains 16S-23S intergenic spacer region". The record is from RNAcentral.